This is a long non-coding RNA of Tympanuchus pallidicinctus (lesser prairie-chicken), 1076 nucleotides long. RefSeq lists it as uncharacterized. The record is from RefSeq and is a predicted model, not a curated record. The transcript is spliced from 2 exons. Lineage: Eukaryota; Metazoa; Chordata; Aves; Galliformes; Phasianidae.
GCCGAGCAGCGCCGGGCUCUGCCGUCCUCCCGAGUGCCGGCACUGCCUCCGGCAUUAAGGCGACCGGCAGCUUUCGUCGCCGCCCGUCUGCUUCGGCCGUUGAGCGACAGAAGACGCGGCGCUGGGGCGCGGCUCGGGCAGGCCGAGCCUAAUCUCCGUCCCGCGUUCCUCCUCCUGCGCUCUUUUUCAUGGAAAGCUGUGCCAGCUUCUGCAAACGUACAGCUUCCUGAAAAAAUAUAACAGAGUUGAACAGAGAGAGCUUGUGAAACAAGAGAUCUUGAAGGCAAAGCACAAGGGCAGGGAGAAGCUCAGCCUCGGAUAGGUGUACAUGGCCGCAGCCAGCAGGCGGGCAAGAAGAGGCUAGCAGAGACACAGCCAAAGAGCAGCGAGACCACCUCAGCUACGGAGCAGCCAGAGCGCCUGAAAAUGCGACAAGCACCAGGUACCACAGACACGCACUCAGGGGAGAGACCCCUUCACCAGGGGCUGUUCCCCACGCACGGGGUCCCCUCCCCAGGUGUCACAGUUUUAUGACUUUUGGCUAUCAGUAUUCCACACCAUAACAUCAUGUAAUGCACUGGGGGUUUGACUUUUAAUGCUCAGUUCUGAAUAUUUGUCCGACGGAGGAGAACUACAUUUCCCAAGGAGGCUUUGCGGUCAGCGAGGAGAUAUAACUGUGUGCAAGGUCACCUGAUCUUUCUUCUUUGCCUGCUCUAUUCCAUCUGCACUUCUCCAUUUGCAAUUUGCCGUCUGCUGUUAUCCAUCUGCUCAACUGAACUGCACCUACACCUCAGCGUUGUGACAAGACCUACCUACCUGACAAACUCUCUAUCUCUCUCAUUGUAUUUUGCUGAUUGCUAAACGACAUUGCUCGACGUCGGAUUGUUGCUGCUGUUUUCAAUUGCUUUGGAGCUGAUGCAGGUGAAGAAGAGCAUAGAAAGAAGAAGGAUGAGGUGACCUUGCAUACAGUUAUAUCUCCUUGCUGACCGCACAGCCACCUGGGGAAAAGUAGUUCUCCUCUGUCGGACAAAUAUUUGGAACUGAGCAUUACAAAUAAAACCCCCAGUGCAUUACAA